RNAcentral lists this ribosomal RNA (804 nucleotides) under uncultured bacterium. Its description in RNAcentral is "bacterial SSU rRNA". It matches the Rfam family "Bacterial small subunit ribosomal RNA", at positions 8 to 794 of the family's 1533-position model. The record is from RNAcentral.
AGAGUUUGAUCCUGGCUCAGGACGAACGCUGGCGGCGUGCUUAACACAUGCAAGUCGAACGGAGAUUUUAGCAAUAGAAUCUUAGUGGCGAACGGGUGAGUAACGCGUAGGCAAUCUGCCUUCUAGAUGGGGACAACAUCCCGAAAGGGGUGCUAAUACCGAAUGUUGUAUGAUCUUCGCAUGGAGAUGAUACUAAAGGUGGCCUCUGAAUAUGCUACCGCUAGAAGAUGAGCCUGCGUCUGAUUAGCUAGUUGGGGGGGUAACGGCCCACCAAGGCUUCGAUCAGUAGCCGGUCUGAGAGGAUGAACGGCCACACUGGGACUGAGACACGGCCCAGACUCCUACGGGAGGCAGCAGUGGGGAAUCUUCCGCAAUGGACGAAAGUCUGACGGAGCAACGCCGCGUGAGUGAAGAAGGUUUUCGGAUCGUAAAGCUCUUUCGUUAGGGACGAACGUGCUCUUUGUGAAUAAUGAGGAGUAAUGACGGUACCUAAAUAAGAAGCCACGGCUAACUACGUGCCAGCAGCCGCGGUAAUACGUAGGUGGCAAGCGUUGUCCGGAAUUAUUGGGCGUAAAGCGCGCGCAGGCGGGAUAUCAAGUCUGUCUUAAAAGUGCGAGGCUCAACCUCGUGAGGGGACAGAAACUGGUAUUCUUGAGUGUCGGAGAGGAAAGUGGAAUUCCAAGUGUAGCGGUGAAAUGCGUAGAGAUUUGGGAGAACACCAGUGGCGAAGGCGACUUUCUGGACGAUGUCUGACGCUGAGGCGCGAAAGCUAGGGGAGCGAACGGGAUUAGAUACCCCGGUAGU